This 925-nucleotide ribosomal RNA is filed under the name uncultured organism. RNAcentral describes it as "bacterial SSU rRNA". It matches the Rfam family "Bacterial small subunit ribosomal RNA", at positions 1 to 917 of the family's 1533-position model. The record is from RNAcentral.
UGGAUCCAGACUUUGAUCAUGGCUCAGGAUGAACGCUAGCGACAGGCUUAACACAUGCAAGUCGAGGGGCAGCAUGGUUUGUAGCAAUACAAACUGAUGGCAACCGGCGCACGGGUGAGUAACGCGUAUGCAACUUACCUAUCAGAGGGGGAUAGCCCGGCGAAAGUCGGAUUAAUACCCCAUAAAACAGGGGUCCCGCAUGGGAAUAUUUGUUAAAGAUUGAUUGCUGAUAGAUAGGCAUGCGUUCCAUUAGGCAGUUGGCGGGGUAACGGCCCACCAAACCGACGAUGGAUAGGGGUUCUGAGAGGAAGGUCCCCCACAUUGGUACUGAGACACGGACCAAACUCCUACGGGAGGCAGCAGUGAGGAACAUUGGUCAAUGGCCGAGAGGCUGAACCAGCCAAGUCGCGUGAAGGAAGAAGGAUCUAUGGUUUGUAAACUUCUUUUAUAGGGGAAUAAAGUGAGGGACGUGUCCCUUUUUGUAUGUACCCUAUGAAUAAGCAUCGGCUAACUCCGUGCCAGCAGCCGCGGUAAUACGGAGGAUGCGAGCGUUAUCCGGAUUUAUUGGGUUUAAAGGGUGCGUAGGUUGUUUUUUAAGUCAGCGGUGAAAGUUUGUGGCUUAACCAUAAAAUUGCCGUUGAAACUGGGGAACUUGAGUGUGUUUGAGGUAGGCGGAAUGCGUGGUGUAGCGGUGAAAUGCAUAGAUAUCACGCAGAACUCCAAUUGCGAAGGCAGCUUACUAAACCAUAACUGACACUGAAGCACGAAAGCGUGGGGAUCAAACAGGAUUAGAUACCCUGGUAGUCCACGCAGUAAACGAUGAUUACUAGGAGUUUGCGAUAGACAGUAAGCUCUACAGCGAAAGCGUUAAGUAAUCCACCUGGGGAGUACGCCGGCAACGGUGCAACUCAAAGGAAUUGACGGA